RNAcentral lists this small nucleolar RNA (62 nucleotides) under Athene cunicularia (burrowing owl). RNAcentral describes it as "Small nucleolar RNA SNORD24 (ENSACUG00000012147.1)". It matches the Rfam family "Small nucleolar RNA SNORD24". From Rfam's summary of the family: U24 is a member of the C/D class of snoRNA which contain the C (UGAUGA) and D (CUGA) box motifs. The record is from Rfam by way of RNAcentral. Lineage: Eukaryota; Metazoa; Chordata; Aves; Strigiformes; Strigidae.
UGCAAAUGAUGAUAACUUGCUGUCUAAUACACGUGAGGACAACCACCAAGAUCGCUGAUGCA